Molecule: unclassified non-coding RNA, 347 nt
Filed under: soil metagenome
Description: partial contains 5.8S ribosomal RNA, internal transcribed spacer 2, and large subunit ribosomal RNA
Rfam family: 5.8S ribosomal RNA (bases 1-120)
Source: RNAcentral
GAUGAAGAACGUAGCGAAAUGCGAUAAGUAAUGUGAAUUGCAGAAUUCAGUGAAUCAUCGAAUCUUUGAACGCACAUUGCGCCCGCCAGUAUUCUGGCGGGCAUGCCUGUCUGAGCGUCAUUUCAACCCUCAUGCCCCUAGGGCGUGGUGUUGGGGAUCGGCCAAAGCCCGCGAGGGACGGCCGGCCCCUAAAUCUAGUGGCGGACCCGUCGUGGCCUCCUCUGCGAAGUAGUGAUAUUCCGCAUCGGAGAGCGACGAGCCCCUGCCGUUAAACCCCCAACUUUCCAAGGUUGACCUCAGAUCAGGUAGGAAUACCCGCUGAACUUAAGCAUAUCAAUAAGCGGAGA